Molecule: long non-coding RNA, 204 nt
Filed under: Lathyrus oleraceus (garden pea)
Lineage: Eukaryota; Viridiplantae; Streptophyta; Magnoliopsida; Fabales; Fabaceae
Description: Pisum sativum (pea) long non-coding RNA (PSAT_LNC027357)
Source: RNAcentral
GGGGUGGUAAUUAUGGAUAUAGAGUUAUUUCAGCUUUACUUGGUAAAGGAUAAGAUAACCAUAUACUUGUCUAUUAUUAACCUAUGUAAGAGUUAGGGACUCAUAAAGAAUCAUACACACAACUGUACGGAAAGAAAGAACACUUUGAUGAAGUUCAUGAGUCUCUUGUUCCUUGCCUUAGUGGACCAACUCCGAAGAUAAAAU